Long non-coding RNA from Pseudopipra pipra, 608 nucleotides. RefSeq lists it as uncharacterized. NCBI's taxonomy places the organism in Eukaryota, Metazoa, Chordata, Aves, Passeriformes, Pipridae. The transcript is spliced from 2 exons. The record is from RefSeq and is a predicted model, not a curated record.
GCAGGGACGGAGCGUCCCCGCCGCCGCAGCAUCCCCGAGAUGCCCAAGGCUCCGCCGGGAGCCUCCGACCCCUCUCGGGGACGAUGCGGCGGCGGGAAUUUCCCCCGGGGAUGCUUGUGGGGUGCCCCGGUGAUGCGGGAAGUUAUCCCUGUUACCACCCUGUACCCGCAUCCCCAGAGCUCCGGGCUGCUCGCCCGCUCCCGGGGCGGUUUCGUUCCGCGGUUUCUUCUGUUUUAACUCUAUUUAGGAAGCCCAGUCUGUUGCUAGAAGUUUGGAAACGGGUUGUUGGGGUGAAAUGAUGCAGUUUUGGCUUCUGGCAGCAGUUUGGGAGCUCUGCAGAGUGAGCAGCACUGGACUGUGGCAGGGAGAGGAUGAUUACACCCUGCCAGAAGCAUUAACAUUGGCUAGUGUUGUAACUUGGAAGGGGCAGUGCAGGAUCACUGUGGGAGCAAACACUUUUAGAAGAGCAUGCAGCAGCCAGGCAGAGCCUGUUAUCCCAAGUCUCCCACUGCCCAGUGUUUCAGCUCCUCUGGGAGUGUUCCUCACUGGAUAUUUGUAUCAUAAACUAAUUUCAAUAUUCAGUAAAAUAAUUGCUAUUAGUAUCCUAA